This 497-nucleotide ribosomal RNA is filed under the name uncultured bacterium. RNAcentral describes it as "partial 16S ribosomal RNA". It matches the Rfam family "Bacterial small subunit ribosomal RNA", at positions 28 to 507 of the family's 1533-position model. The record is from RNAcentral.
GACGAACGCUGGCGGCGUGCCUAAUACAUGCAAGUUGAGCGCUGAAGGUUGGUACUUGUACCAACUGGAUGAGCAGCGAACGGGUGAGUAACGCGUGGGGAAUCUGCCUUUGAGCGGGGGACAACAUUUGGAAACGAAUGCUAAUACCGCAUAAAAACUUUAAACACAAGUUUUAAGUUUGAAAGAUGCAAUUGCAUCACUCAAAGAUGAUCCCGCGUUGUAUUAGCUAGUUGGUGAGGUAAAGGCUCACCAAGGCGAUGAUACAUAGCCGACCUGAGAGGGUGAUCGGCCACAUUGGGACUGAGACACGGCCCAAACUCCUACGGGAGGCAGCAGUAGGGAAUCUUCGGCAAUGGACGAAAGUCUGACCGAGCAACGCCGCGUGAGUGAAGAAGGUUUUCGGAUCGUAAAACUCUGUUGGUAGAGAAGAACGUUGGUGAGAGUGGAAAGCUCAUCAAGUGACGGUAACUACCCAGAAAGGAACGGCUAACUACGUG